AUACGGAGGGUGCAAGCGUUAUUCGGAAUCACUGGGCGUAAAGGACGCGUAGGCGGGUUGGCAAGUCAGAUGUGAAAUCCUACAGCUUAACUGUGGAACUGCAUUUGAAACUGCUAACCUAGAGUAUGGGAGGGGGAGAUGGAAUUAGUGGUGUAGGGGUAAAAUCCGUAGAUAUCACUAGGAAUACCGAAAGCGAAGGCGAUCUCCUGGAACAUAACUGACGCUAAGGCGUGAAAGCGUGGGGAGCAAACAGGAUUAGAAACCCUAGUAGUCC
This 274-nucleotide ribosomal RNA is filed under the name uncultured bacterium. RNAcentral's name for it is "partial 16S ribosomal RNA". It matches the Rfam family "Bacterial small subunit ribosomal RNA", at positions 523 to 796 of the family's 1533-position model. The record is from RNAcentral.